AGCUGCGGCAGCGACACUAUGUGUUGUUGGGUAGGGGAGCGUUCUGUAAGCCUGUGAAGGUGGCCUGUGAGGGUUGCUGGAGGUAUCAGAAGUGCGAAUGCUGACAUAAGUAACGAUAAAGCGGGUGAAAAGCCCGCUCGCCGGAAGACCAAGGGUUCCUGUCCAACGUUAAUCGGGGCAGGGUGAGUCGACCCCUAAGGCGAGGCCGAAAGGCGUAGUCGAUGGGAAACGGGUUAAUAUUCCCGUACUUGGUGUUACUGCGAAGGGGGGACGGAGAAGGCUAUGUUGGCCGGGCGACGGUUGUCCCGGUUUAAGCGUGUAGGUGUGUGUUCCAGGUAAAUCCGGUUCACUUUAACACUGAGGCGUGAUGACGAGGCACUACGGUGCUGAAGCAACAAAUGCCCUGCUUCCAGGAAAAGCCUCUAAGCAUCAGGUAACAUCAAAUCGUACCCCAAACCGACACAGGUGGUCAGGUAGAGAAUACCAAGGCGCUUGAGAGAACUCGGGUGAAGGAACUAGGCAAAAUGGUGCCGUAACU
This 538-nucleotide ribosomal RNA is filed under the name Salmonella enterica. RNAcentral describes it as "partial 23S ribosomal RNA". It matches the Rfam family "Bacterial large subunit ribosomal RNA", at positions 1198 to 1735 of the family's 2925-position model. The record is from RNAcentral. Lineage: Bacteria; Pseudomonadati; Pseudomonadota; Gammaproteobacteria; Enterobacterales; Enterobacteriaceae.